Molecule: long non-coding RNA, 1440 nt
Filed under: Piliocolobus tephrosceles (Ugandan red Colobus)
Lineage: Eukaryota; Metazoa; Chordata; Mammalia; Primates; Cercopithecidae
Description: lncRNA (ENSPTEG00000023110.1)
Source: RNAcentral
AUGGACAGCAAAAAAAUGGAUGGCGAAAAAAUUGUUAUUAAUAACGUGUCUAGUUUAAAAAAACUGAGUAGUAACAAUAAAUAUGAUGAAUAUAAAAAUGCAUAUUUAAAAAUAUUAAGAUCAAUUAUUUAUUUUAUAAAUAAAAAAAAAAUAAUAAAUUAUGAAAAUACGAAUGUUUUAAUACUUAUUCUUUAUUAUUAUGUAAAAAUGAAUUUAAUACCUAUACAAAUAUUUUAUAAAUUAAACUAUAAAAUAAAAAAAAACAUCAAAAAAAUAAAAGUAGACACAAAAUAUAUAUCUUUAUAUGUAUAUAUAUUAAGUCGUAUUAAAUUUGAUAUAAGUUAUUAUAAAUAUGUAUAUAAACAUUUAAAUAAUAUUUUUAAAAAUAGAAUAAAAAAUUUUGACGUACUAUCAGUGUCAUUAUCUUUUUAUUCGCUUUCCAAAAAUUUGUAUUAUGACCCAGACUUUGUACAAACAUGUAUAGAACUAUUUAAAAUGUAUGGUGAAAACUUAAACGAUGUUAACAUAACAAAUAUCAUUUAUACAACAGGAAAAUUAAAAAUAAGAGAUGACGAACUGUUUAACAAACUAUGUUAUAUUUUAACAAAAAGAAUAGGGAAUAUGUCUGCUUUAAAUUUAAGCUUAAUUGUUCAUAAUUUGUCAAAGGUGCAGUAUAAAAAUAAUGAUUUUUACAAUUUAUGUCUUAAAAAGGGACAAGAAUUAUUAACUAGCUUCACAGCUAAACAGUUAAUAAUAUUUUUACAAGGAUUAAUAAUUAAUAAUAUUUAUGAUUAUAAUUUUAUUGAACAAUUGUUUCAUCAACUUAUAUACAUAGAUAAUAAAGACAAAAGCAAUAGUAACAGUAAUAGUAACAGUAAUAGGGACAAUAAUAAAUAUAAAACUAUAUUAAGUAGUAUAUGCUUUAGUAUAGCCUUGGAAAGACAAGAUUAUAUUAAACUACUUCCUUUAUCAAUACGAACUUAUAUAUCAAAAAAUUUAAAUUUUUGUCAAAAUAAAAAAUAUAAUUUUAUACAUGAUGAACUUACAAAUAUAUUAAACUUUUUAAAUGUAGAACAUUAUGAAAUAUUAAAAGAAAAAAAGCCCUAUGCAUUCGAUUUAUUUAUAAAAGAUAAUUCUAAUAUUUUUUUUGUAGAUAUCGUAUCAAAAAAAAAAAAAUCCUGACCACAUGUUCUGGUAAUAACAACAUAAAUUUAUUAAAUGGAUUUAUGGCCUUAAAAAAAAGACAUAUGGACAAAUUAAAUGUGAAAUAUUAUUACAUAGAUAAGGAUUCCUAUUUAGCUUUAGAAUCAAUAGAUAAAAAAAUUAAUUUUAUAAAAACGUUUUUAGAAAAAACUUGUUUUUAUAAUUUAAAAUGCACUAAACAACAUGAAACAAGUAGUGAGAAAGUAAAAAAACAAAUAAAAAAUAUGAUCAUAUUCA